Molecule: unclassified non-coding RNA, 213 nt
Filed under: plant metagenome
Description: partial contains small subunit ribosomal RNA, internal transcribed spacer 1, and 5.8S ribosomal RNA
Source: RNAcentral
UUUCCGUAGGUGAACCUGCGGAAGGAUCAUUCAUAAUAAGUGUUUUAUGGCACUUUUUUAAAUCCAUAUCCACCUUGUGUGCAAUGUCAGGGUUGAUUUUUCUCUCGAGAGGAUCGGCCCCAAACGUCAACUAUAUCUCAACUCUUUGUCUGAAAAAUAUUAUGAAUAAAACAAUUCAAAAUACAACUUUCAACAACGGAUCUCUUGGCUCUC